UUAGUGGCGAACGGGUGAGUAACGCGUGAGGAACCUGCCUUUCAGUGGGGGACAACAGUUGGAAACGACUGCUAAUACCGCAUAAUGUAUUUAAGGGGCAUCCCUUGAAUACCAAAGCUUUAUGUGCUGAAAGAUGGCCUCGCGUCUGAUUAGAUAGUUGGUGGGGUAACGGCCUACCAAGUCAACGAUCAGUAGCCGGUCUGAGAGGAUGAACGGCCACAUUGGGACUGAGAUACGGCCCAGACUCCUACGGGAGGCAGCAGUGGGGAAUAUUGGGCAAUGGAGGAAACCCUGACCCAGCAACGCCGCGUGAAGGAAGAAGGCCCUCGGGUUGUAAACUUCUUUUACCAGGGACGAAGGACGUGACGGUACCUGGAGAAAAAGCGCCGGCUAACUACGUGCCAGCAGCCGCGGUAAUACGUAGGGCGCAAGCGUUAUCCGGAAUUAUUGGGCGUAAAGAGCUCGUAGGCGGUUUGUCGCGUCUGCUGUGAAAGCCCGGGGCUCAACCCCGGGUCUGCAGUGGGUACGGGCAGACUAGAGUGCAGUAGGGGAGACUGGAAUUCCUGGUGUAGCGGUGAAAUGCGCAGAUAUCAGGAGGAACACCGAUGGCGAAGGCAGGUCUCUGGGCUGUAACUGACGCUGAGGAGCGAAAGCAUGGGGAGCGAACAGGAUUAGAUACCCUGGUAGUCCAUGCCGUAAACGUUGGGCACUAGGUGUGGGGGACAUUCCACGUUUUCCGCGCCGUAGCUAACGCAUUAAGUGCCCCGCCUGGGGAGUACGGCCGCAAGGCUAAAACUCAAAGGAAUUGACGGGGGCCCGCACAAGCGGCGGAGCAUGCGGAUUAAUUCGAUGCAACGCGAAGAACCUUACCAAGGCUUGACAUGAACCGGAAAGGCCUGGAAACAGGUCCCCCACUUGUGGCCGGUUUACAGGUGGUGCAUGGUUGUCGUCAGCUCGUGUCGUGAGAUGUUGGGUUAAGUCCCGCAACGAGCGCAACCCUCGUUCUAUGUUGCCAGCGGGUUAUGCCGGGGACUCAUAGGAGACUGCCGGGGUCAACUCGGAGGAAGGUGGGGACGACGUCAAAUCAUCAUGCCCCUUAUGUCUUGGGCUUCACGCAUGCUACAAUGGCCGGUACAAAGGGUUGCGAUACUGUGAGGUGGAGCUAAUCCCAAAAAGCCGGUCUCAGUUCGGAUUGAGGUCUGCAACUCGACCUCAUGAAGUUGGAGUCGCUAGUAAUCGCAGAUCAGCAACGCUGCGGUGAAUACGUUCCCGGGCCUUGCACUCACCGCCCGUCAAG
Molecule: ribosomal RNA, 1297 nt
Filed under: uncultured bacterium
Lineage: Bacteria
Description: bacterial SSU rRNA
Rfam family: Bacterial small subunit ribosomal RNA
Source: RNAcentral